RNAcentral lists this ribosomal RNA (253 nucleotides) under uncultured bacterium. Its description in RNAcentral is "partial 16S ribosomal RNA". It matches the Rfam family "Bacterial small subunit ribosomal RNA", at positions 524 to 776 of the family's 1533-position model. The record is from RNAcentral.
UACGUAGGCAGCAAGCGUUGUUCGGAGUUACUGGGCGUAAAGAGUGCGUAGGUGGUGCCCUAAGUCUGUUGUGAAAUCUCCCGGCUUAACUGGGAGGGUGCGGUGGAAACUGGGGUGCUUGAGUGUGGGAGAGGUAAGCGGAAUUCCUGGUGUAGCGGUGAAAUGCGUAGAUAUCAGGAGGAACACCGGUGGUGAAGACGGCUUACUGGACCACGACUGACACUGAGGCACGAAAGCGUGGGUAGCAAACAGG